RNAcentral lists this ribosomal RNA (301 nucleotides) under uncultured bacterium. RNAcentral describes it as "partial 16S ribosomal RNA". It matches the Rfam family "Bacterial small subunit ribosomal RNA", at positions 509 to 807 of the family's 1533-position model. The record is from RNAcentral.
CAGCCGCCGCGGUAAUACGAAGGGGGCUAGCGUUGCUCGGAAUGACUGGGCGUAAAGGGCGCGUAGGCGGCUGACACAGUCAGAUGUGAAAUUCCUGGGCUCAACCUGGGGACUGCAUUUGAGACGUGUUGGCUUGAGUGGAGAAGAGGGUUGUGGAAUUUCCAGUGUAAAGGUGAAAUUCGUAGAUAUUGGAAAGAACACCGGUGGCGAAGGCGGCGACCUGGUCUUUAACUGACGCUGAGGCGCGAAAGCGUGGGGAGCAAACAGGAUUAGAUACCCCUGUAGUCCCUGUCUCUUAUAC